UCAAUCCCAAGAUGGAAUAAACAAAGUUUGAAAUUUUUACCGGUGGGAUAUCGUUUUUCUAUUUUAAUAUAAAAAGCGAAAGAAAACGGUGUUUUUUCUUAGGCAGCUUUAACAACGUGUAAACGCUAUUAUUGUUCAGAACACUAUUUUGAUUUUUAUUUACGGUGGGACGCCCCUCAGUCGCGGGGCCCGGGUACAUAGCACCAGCCCCCCCCGCAGAUGGCCGGUCCUGGCUAGUGUGAGUGUGAAAUUGCUUGCUAUCAAAGGAAAUUUUAAAACAAUGUUGAAAUAUUUGACUAAAAUUUAAGAAGAAAUGAUGUAGCUUUGAUCCUUUUAUUGGAAUAGUAAGCUAUCAUCAGAUUUAGAUGUGAGAUCCUUCCUAGCUCUGUUAUAUAUUGUUGCGACAUAAAUUAUAAAUAUUUCACUUAAAAGUAAUUCAAGGGUAGUUUAAUAAUUAUAAAUGUUAUUUUGUAAAUAGUUGUUAAUUCAAAUUGGCAACAGUGAUUAUGUUAUGCACUUUUUGAGUUGUUUUAAUAAGGAUAUUAGAAUUUGAAUGAAAAUACAUUGAUGUUACCAUGAUAUAUAAUGUUGUAAGAUUUCGUUUAAUAGUGAGUUUGUCUGUAUCCCAUUUUUGCUGAUUCACGAACGCAACAAUAUAAAGAAAAAUUCAGGAUAGCAAACUCAAAGAAUUCUUCAAGUAAGAAGCAAUAUAUGUCUAUAUGAAAUGUUUUGAAAGAUUGUGGAUUGGAAAAUAAGUCGUAAAUUCUCCGUUUUGGCACAAUCAUUUCAGGCACUGGUUGCAUAAACAAUGCUGUAUCUAGAACUGUAUGCAGUUGUGGCACAAACUUCUCCCAUCUUGAACUUUGGAAUCCGACAGCAGCGCCGCUGUAUUCGAAUCAGUUGACACCGAGAUCUUCUGUAAACAUCAACGCAUGGCCUUUGGGUUAGACUGUAACUGGAAUUUAAGACGCCUUUAAUUCUACAUAUCAUUUGUGUUUAUGUCCGUGAAGUGUGAAUAAUUGUUUCGUCUCAAAGAAUGUGGAUUAUUUUUGCAAAAGUGAUAUUAUUACUCAUCUAUACUGGCGGUCUUGGAUUAUAAGGCAACAAAUCAAGUUGUGACAAGAGUGCCUAAAUCUACCAAAGAUGAAAUGGAAUGAGCAGUUGCCAGUGCAAAAGAAACAUUUCAAACAUGGUCCAAUACAUUAAUUCUUACUCGACAGAAAAUAUCAUACUUCACUGUAGUGACUGGGUAUCUUAAGUCUUUGAGGUUGUGGAGUCACAUCCUUACAGUUGGGAGAAACUUUACCAUUAAUAUCUCGAGACAUGGAUACCACAUCGUAUCGCUUAACUCUUGGAGUGUGUACUGGUAUUUGCACCAUUUAAUUUUCCUGCAAUGAUAUCUUUUUGGAUGCUUCCUCUAGCAUUGGUAUGUGGUAAUACCAUGAUUCUCGCACCAUUGGAAAGAGAUCCAGGUGCUGCAACGAUUUUAAUGAAGUUAACAAAAGAAGUUGGUAUACCUGAUAGUUGUUAAUGUUAUUCAUGGUGCACAUGAAGGGUAAAUAUGUCUAUGAACGAGGCUCCAAGAAUGUCAAACGAGUGCAGUGUAAUAUGCUUGUAGGUGCAGCAGGUCAGCAUUGUAUGGCCUUAUCAACAGCUGUUUUUGUUGGAGAAUCACCAAAUGGAUUUCAGAUUUUACAGAAAGAUCUUGGACCUGUCAUAUCACCUAGAAGCUAAAAAGAGAAUUUGCAAUUUAGUUGAAUCGGAAAUAAAGGAGGGUGCCAAAUUGUUGUUGGAUGGAAGAGGCAUUGUAGUUCCAGGUUUUGAAAAAGGAAACUUUGUUGGUCCGACUAUUCUUUUUGAUGUGAAGGUACUGGAAAGUUCUUGUUUGACUUCUAUAUUUCUCACAUUUUUAUAUAAUAUAUAUUCUACUCAUGUUAGUAUGAUUUCAUGAAACUUUAAUUUUAACUUUUCCUUGUAUAUCUUCUAAAUUGAACUAUUUCUGUGUUUUUCAUAUGUUAUGUGGAUAUUUUGGAUUGGUUAUUACAAAUUCAUUUAUAAAUAAACUUGCGCAUAAAGUAAAAAAAGAUACAAAAAUUUCAAGGCAGUACUAAAUUUGGUUUAUAAAUUCUUGAGUUGGGGAAUUUGUUACAUAUUGUGCAUCACUGUCUAAUAAUUUUUAAAAUGCAGUAUAGUUUGAAACUGUCAGACAAGAAGUUACUAAUCAAAAUGUUGCAAUCUGUAUAAGAUAUAUAUAUAUAUAUAUAUAUAUUGUAGAUUGUCUGAUGUAGAUUGUUUUUGAAGAUCAAAAGCAUUGUCACAGUGUUUCCAUUUGUUCUGUACUAAUAUAUUUUCAGAUAAGAGUUUAAAAGAUAUCAUUUGGUUAA
Molecule: RNA transcript, 2384 nt
Organism: Argiope bruennichi
Lineage: Eukaryota; Metazoa; Arthropoda; Arachnida; Araneae; Araneidae
Gene name: probable methylmalonate-semialdehyde dehydrogenase [acylating], mitochondrial
Exons: 7
Source: RefSeq, a predicted model, not a curated record